GGUUAGACGGAAAGACCCCGUGCACCUUUACUACAGCUUCAGAGUGACGUCAGACAUGUCACGUGCAGGAUAGGUGGUGGGCUUUGAAACCGGAACGCUAGUUUCGGUGGAGCCACCCUUGAGAUACCACCCUUGACCUGUUUGGCGUCUAACCGCGAUCCUUGAAUCAGGAUCCGGGACCCUCUGUGGCGGGUAGUUUGACUGGGGCGGUCGCCUCCUAAAGCGUAACGGAGGCGCGCGAAGGUUGGCUCAGAGCGGUCGGAAAUCGCUCGUUGAGUGCAAUGGCAGAAGCCAGCCUGACUGCGAGACUGACAAGUCGAGCAGAGUCGAAAGACGGCCAUAGUGAUCCGGUGGUC
RNAcentral lists this ribosomal RNA (356 nucleotides) under Ochromonas sp. CCMP1393. RNAcentral describes it as "partial Bacterial large subunit ribosomal RNA". It matches the Rfam family "Bacterial large subunit ribosomal RNA", at positions 2074 to 2428 of the family's 2925-position model. Lineage: Eukaryota; Chrysophyceae; Chromulinales; Chromulinaceae. The record is from RNAcentral.